Molecule: transfer RNA, 73 nt
Organism: Camelus ferus (Wild Bactrian camel)
Lineage: Eukaryota; Metazoa; Chordata; Mammalia; Artiodactyla; Camelidae
Rfam family: tRNA
About the family: Transfer RNA (tRNA) molecules are approximately 80 nucleotides in length.
Source: Rfam
GAGGGUAUAGCUCAAGUGGUAGAGCGCAUGCUUAGCAUACACAACAUCCUGAGUUCAAUUCCCAGUACCUCCU